Molecule: small nuclear RNA, 104 nt
Organism: Sapajus apella (tufted capuchin)
Lineage: Eukaryota; Metazoa; Chordata; Mammalia; Primates; Cebidae
Source: RefSeq, a predicted model, not a curated record
GUGCUUCCUUCGGCAGAACAUAUACCAAAAUUGGAACAAUACAGAGAUUUGCAUGGCCCCUGCACAAGGAUGACAUGCAAAUUUGUGAAUCAUUUUAUAUAUAA